GAUGAACGCUGGCGGCGUGCCUAAUACAUGCAAGUCGAGCGAACAGACGAGGAGCUUGCUCCUCUGACGUUAGCGGCGGACGGGUGAGUAACACGUGGAUAACCUACCUAUAAGACUGGGAUAACUUCGGAAACCCGCUGCUAUUCCCGGUUAACAUUUCGACCGGCUGGUUUCACCGGUGAAAACGGUUUUGCCUGCCACUUUUAGCUGAUUCCGCGUCGCAUUAGCUAGUUGGUAAGGUACCGGCUUACCAAGGCAACGAUGCGUAGCCGACCUGAGGGGGUGAUCGGCCACACUGGAACUGAGACACGGUCCAGACUCCUACGGGAGGCAGCAGUAGGGAAUCUUCCGCAAUGGGCGAAAGCCUGACGGAGCAACGCCGCGUGAGUGAAGAAGGUCUUCGGAUCGUAAAACUCUGUUAUUAGGGAAGAACAAAUGUGUAAGAAACUAUGCACGUCUUGACGGUACCUAAUCAGAAAGCCACGGCUAACUACGUG
Molecule: ribosomal RNA, 497 nt
Filed under: uncultured bacterium
Lineage: Bacteria
Description: partial 16S ribosomal RNA
Rfam family: Bacterial small subunit ribosomal RNA
Source: RNAcentral